ACUACAUGAGGUGAACCCCAUUCAGGCCGCCUCAGAUAAUUGACAGGGACACUGGCAGGAGGUGCAUAUGGAGGGGAAGAAGGUGCAAGGGCUACGUGAUUCUGGGGCUACCCUAACGCUAGUCCGGAAUCAUCUGGUGCCUAAAAUUAAUCUGACUGGGGGCUGUGUUGCUGUACGGGUGGCAGGGGGAGCCAUUUACAAAGUGCCCACUGCCAAGGUACAUUUGAAUUGGGGAGCGGGUCACGGGAAUGUGGAGGUGGGGAGAAUGCAGGAUUUGCCCGCUGACGUCAUUUUGGGCAAC
Non-coding RNA from Pelobates cultripes (western spadefoot toad), 301 nucleotides. Lineage: Eukaryota; Metazoa; Chordata; Amphibia; Anura; Pelobatidae. The record is from the annotation of a GenBank genome assembly.